RNAcentral lists this ribosomal RNA (497 nucleotides) under uncultured bacterium. RNAcentral's name for it is "partial 16S ribosomal RNA". It matches the Rfam family "Bacterial small subunit ribosomal RNA", at positions 28 to 507 of the family's 1533-position model. The record is from RNAcentral.
GAUGAACGCUGGCGGCGUGCCUAAUACAUGCAAGUCGAGCGAACGGACGAGAAGCUUGCUUCUCUGAUGUUAGCGGCGGACGGGUGAGUAACACGUGGAUAACCUACCUAUAAGACUGGGAUAACUUCGGGAAACCGGAGCUAAUACCGGAUAAUAUUUUGAACCGCAUGGUUCAAAAGUGAAAGACGGUCUUGCUGUCACUUAUAGAUGGAUCCGCGCUGCAUUAGCUAGUUGGUAAGGUAACGGCUUACCAAGGCAACGAUGCAUAGCUGACCUGAGAGGGUGAUAGGCCACACUGGAACUGAGACACGGUCCAGACUCCUACGGGAGGCAGCAGUAGGGAAUCUUCCGCAAUGGGCGAAAGCCUGACGGAGCAACGCCGCGUGAGUGAUGAAGGUCUUCGGAUCGUAAAACUCUGUUAUUAGGGAAGAACAUAUGUGUAAGUAACUGUGCACAUCUUGACGGUACCUAAUCAGAAAGCCACGGCUAACUACGUG